This is a long non-coding RNA of Chenopodium quinoa (quinoa), 387 nucleotides long. RefSeq lists it as uncharacterized. Lineage: Eukaryota; Viridiplantae; Streptophyta; Magnoliopsida; Caryophyllales; Amaranthaceae. The record is from RefSeq and is a predicted model, not a curated record. The transcript is spliced from 4 exons.
ACAGUUCAGAUUCUCUUUGAAAAAAGAGCAUUACAAGCCAUAUGAGAAAACAGUGGAAGAGAUGUGUAAUCAGGAACCACCGCAUGGAAUAAGCAGGAACAAUUGGGUAAAGUUGGUGAAGUACUGGGAUUCAGAGAAAGCGAAAAAUUUGUCUAUAGCUGGAAAAAAGCACGAGCCUUCGUAAAUCAGCUUCACAGAUCUAGCUCUUAUAGCUUUGCAAACCAACAAGCUGAUUAUGAAGAUGAACAUGGAGAAAAAAUGAGCUUAUUAUCUCUUUGGAUAAAAGCUCAUACGGGUAAGGACGGAAGCUUUCUUCCCGACACCGUCACUGCAUAUUUUGUGGAUGAUGUAAACGCUAAGGUUGAAGAGUUGAGGAUGUUGUAUCCU